RNAcentral lists this ribosomal RNA (440 nucleotides) under uncultured bacterium. RNAcentral describes it as "partial 16S ribosomal RNA". It matches the Rfam family "Bacterial small subunit ribosomal RNA", at positions 338 to 795 of the family's 1533-position model. The record is from RNAcentral.
CCUACGGGUGGCUGCAGUGGGGAAUAUUGCACAAUGGGGGAAACCCUGAUGCAGCGACGCCGCGUGAGUGAAGAAGUAUUUCGGUAUGUAAAGCUCUAUCAGCAGGGAAGAAAAUGACGGUACCUGACUAAGAAGCCCCGGCUAACUACGUGCCAGCAGCCGCGGUAAUACGUAGGGGGCAAGCGUUAUCCGGAUGUACUGGGUGUAAAGGGAGCGUAGACGGCGGAACAAGUCAGAAGUGAAAACCAGGGGCUCAACCCUGGGAGUGCUUUUGAAACUGUUUGGAUGGAGAGCAGGAUAGGUAAGCGGAAUGCCUAGUGUAGCGGUGAAAUGCGUAGAUAUUAGGAGGAACACCAGUGGCGAAGGCGGCUUACUGGGCUGUAACUGACGUUGAGGCUCGAAAGCGUGGGGAGCAAACAGGAUUAGAUACCCGAGUAGUC